GACGAACGCUGGCGGCGCGCCUAACACAUGCAAGUCGAACGAGAAUCAACGGAUUGAGGAUUCGUCCAAAUGAAGUUGAGGAAAGUGGCGGACGGGUGAGUAACGCGUGAGGAACCUGCCUCGGAGUGGGGAAUAACAGUUGGAAACAGCUGCUAAUACCGCAUAAUGCAACGGAAUCGCAUGACUCUGUUGCCAAAGAUUUAUCGCUCUGAGAUGGCCCCGCGUCUGAUUAGCUAGUUGGCGGGGUAACGGCCCACCAAGGCGACGAUCAGUAGCCGGACUGAGAGGUUGGCCGGCCACAUUGGGACUGAGACACGGCCCAA
Molecule: ribosomal RNA, 323 nt
Filed under: uncultured bacterium
Lineage: Bacteria
Description: bacterial SSU rRNA
Rfam family: Bacterial small subunit ribosomal RNA
Source: RNAcentral